This is a long non-coding RNA of Chelonia mydas (Green sea turtle), 1431 nucleotides long. RefSeq lists it as uncharacterized. The record is from RefSeq and is a predicted model, not a curated record. NCBI's taxonomy places the organism in Eukaryota, Metazoa, Chordata, Testudines, Cheloniidae. The transcript is spliced from 2 exons.
UUAGCCCAUGAAAGCUUAUGCCCAAAUAAAUGUGUUAGUCUCUAAGGUGCCACAAGUACUCCUUGUGGUUUUUUGUUUGUUUGUUUGUUUGUUUGUUUUUUUUGCUGAUACAGACUAACACUGCGACCAUUCUGAAAUCAGUCCACAGACUAAACUGUUGUGGCCACAGGCGGAGAAAAGGAGAGACCAAGGUGCUCCAAUGCCUGAAGCACCUGCCAUGGCAGGGAAUUGAUUAGGUGGGAUAUGCCCAGAUCCUAGCAGGUGUUUGUUUUGACUUGAAUGGGAGCUGGCUCAGACCCUUACUCACCUUUAUCAUGCAAGAUGUUGACUUGACUUUUCAAACACUCGUUGCUUUGUCAAAUUGAAACCAAUUUUCUCCAGACCAAGGCUAUGAUGACUACUUCCAUGCCCAAUUGCUUACUUGCAGACUUCAGCCAUUUUGCUAUCGCUAUGAUUUUUUCAUCAAAGAUUGUUUUCACAACAGAGAAUGCAUAUAUCCCCCCCCACUCGUAAAAUGGAUGCUCAAACUUUCUAAGAAUAUUCACCUACUAUGGAUUUUGCACUUGACAUUUUUCAUCUCAGGAUCCCAGAGUGCUUUACAAAUAUUAAAAAGGUGGGUUUUUAAAAUUGUGUUUCCUGAGGAAUUCUUAUUGGGUCUUUGCUUUUGCCCGUUAGUAAAUUAGAAUUACAACAGCAGUGAUGAGUGCUUAGUGCAUACCUGAAAUAAUCCAUAGUCACAUGACUGAAUAAUCUCACAAUAUGAAUAGCCGGACUAGUGCACAGCCCUAGAUCUUAGUUUCUGAGGCUCAUUGAGUAUUUAGCUUUGCUUCCACUCAGAGUUCAAAGGGGCCAACUCUGAUGGGGGACAGAAAUGGGUGCCCGCCAGUGCAGAGGGAGGAGGAUGGCAUACUUUGAAAUGCAAGAAAUUGAAGCUGUUUCCCAAUUUAAAUAUUCUACCCCAUCGCUUAUUUCUCAGUCUGUGAGAUGAGCCUUCUGGAGCAUUGCAGUAUGAGCAAUGCCAUAAGCACAGCAUUCCUCAUGGUAGUUUUGAUUGGCUGGUGCCAGGAAUGGGGAAGGGAAGGAACAGUAUGAUAGGGUUCACUGUAUUUAGUGGGAGUUUGAAAGAAUUGACCCAAUUGUCUCUGGCCUCAAGGAUGGGGUCGGGGUGUCGCUGGGCACGCUCCUUGGUUGAAGCAGGAAUGAAAUUGCUGGAGAUUCUGUGUCAGUUAGUACUUUUCUCAAAAGCCACAACAUAUUUCUGAAAACUCAACUUCCCCAUUUGGCUGGUAAAAUGGUGCAUAUUGCAGCUGCAUCUGGCUUGUGGGGUGAGGUGCUGGGAUGACUUGCCCUUUACCCCAUCCCACUGCAGAGGGCAGGGAAGCUGAGCAAUGCUGAAACUUGAGCUUGUGUGGAGGGAUUUGUUUUGAUGUU